UUUACAGCAGCUUCCUUCACAGCACACCUUUUUAAUCCCUUCUUCUUCCGCUCAGACAAUCAAAGAGUUUCAGUGUGAGAAGAGGGAGUGGGCCGGUGACCAUGCAGCUCUUCCUGGUUCUCUUCUUUCUGCUGGGAAUCCCCAGCGUGGCUCCAGAAUUUCACUCUCUGAAGGCUUUCUACACCGGAUCAUCUCAGGUCCCAAACUUUCCAGAGUUCGUGGCUGUUGGUUUGUUCGAUGAAGUUCAGAUCGUGCACUACGACAGCCACACCAGGAGAUUCGUGCCCAAACACGACUUGUUGAAGAAAUUCAGUGAAGGCGAUCCGACGCAGUGGAACAUCUUCACCCAGGUGCUGAAGGGACAUCAGCAGUGGUUCAGAGCCAACAUGGAGAUCCUCAAGCAGCGUUUCAACCAAACUCAAGGUGUUCAUGUUUUCCAGAACAUGUACGGUUGUGAAUGGGACGAUGAAACCGGUGAGCUGGACGGAUAUAAUCAAUACGGUUUUGACGGAGAAGAUUUCAUCUCUUUGGACCUGAAGACAGAAACCUGGAUCGCUCCAGUUCGGCAGGCCGUCUUCACCAAACACCAGUGGGACAAGGACAAAGCACGGCUGGCCGGGCACAAAAAGGACCUCCUCCACGUUUGUCCAGACUGGCUGAAGAAGUUUGUGAAGUUUGGUGGGAGCUCACUGAUGAGAAAAGAUCUUCCCUCGGUGUCUCUCCUCCAGAAGACUCCCUCCUCUCCGGUCACCUGCCACGCCACCGGUUUCUACCCCGACAGAGCCGACUUGUUCUGGCAGAGAGACGAGGAGGAGCUCCAUGAGGAGGUGGUCAGGGGAGAGACCCUCCCCAACCACGACGGGAGCUUCCAGAUGAGCGUCGACCUGGAUCUUUCAGGGGUCAGAGAUGAAGACUGGGGGAGGUACAGCUGUGUGUUUCAUCUGGCUGGAGGACAGGAAGUCCUCACACCGCUGGACAGACACGCCAUCAGGACCAACUGGAGACACGGGUUUCCCUCUGCUGCUGUGGUUUCAGCUGUUGUCGCUCUGCUCGUCUUGACAGGCUGCUUCAUCGGACUCAUUGUCUGGAAGAGAAACUGGAAAGGGUUCAGAGCCACUAACACCUCUGAAGCUUCCUCUUCAUCAGGAGAAGAUCCAGCCGUGAAGAGAGGCAGCAGUGAGGAGCAGAGCAUUUUAAAAACCUCUGCAGAAAACCAAGAGUCCAAAGAGGCUCCAGUCACUGAGUCUGAUGAACCGAGAGGGAAAAGAAACGAUUGACAUGUUGCAGACUGGUUCCAGUUUGAGCCUGUUGGAACGCAGCCAGCCAGGAGACUGUGGGGCAGUCAUCCAGCAAACCCUGCAUUGAUUGAGGCUCGGGCGCUCGGAGGACGCACGCCAUCGCCACGGCAACCGUUUCUAUAGCGGGAGGCCGGAGCGCCGCGUGUCACGUAUGGAUGGAUGUGAUCACACCGCGAUGGAGGUGGAGGAGCGCGUCCACAUGACUCACGCUCGGCAGGACUUACUCACCUCGGAGACGAUUUACCGACAAUCUACAGAUGAAAAGAAUAUUUUAAGAGUUUAAAUGGACAGUGGCAUGAAACCGCUGGAACGUCAGAGCAGCUCCAGACAAUCUUGAUUUACAAAUGCAACACUACAUUUACUGUCAAGUGAAAACAGGACUUUAUCUCUGCACUUUCUGGUCCUGGUUGAGAACUCCAGAUCAAAUCCCGUACUCACAACUCUCACCAAAAGUCUUGAAUUGAUUUUUCUUUAACUUUCUAUUAAGAAUCAAACACAGCUUCUUCUGCAAUCAACUUUUGUCCUGCAGGCAACCCUCACAAGUCAUCUUUCUCCUUAGCGUGAAGCGCCGCCAUUUUUUUUCUCCGCUGCUCCCUUUGCCUGCGUACUUUUGUGUUUAUUGCUGCCAGUUAUGAAUAGUUUCUUUGAUCAUAUUUUUAAAUCAGUUAUACGCUUUUAGAAUAAAUGCUCAAAUUUUGCAUUUUUUUUAUACAAAUCCAUGAAGUUCUAUCAGACCUGUUUUAUAAAAUAUUUUCUACCUCUUGAAGAGUUUGGAAUUAGACAGGAGAUAAAUUAUCAGGUGGCAUCCAAGAAACACUUUUUCAAGAAAUAACAACCUCAAUUUUGAACUAUCGCCUUAAUU
Molecule: RNA transcript, 2160 nt
Organism: Salarias fasciatus (jewelled blenny)
Lineage: Eukaryota; Metazoa; Chordata; Actinopteri; Blenniiformes; Blenniidae
Gene name: major histocompatibility complex class I-related gene protein-like
Exons: 9
Source: RefSeq, a predicted model, not a curated record